Molecule: ribosomal RNA, 261 nt
Filed under: uncultured bacterium
Lineage: Bacteria
Description: partial 16S ribosomal RNA
Rfam family: Bacterial small subunit ribosomal RNA
Source: RNAcentral
GUCCACGCCGUAAACGUUGGGCGCUAGGUGUGGGGUUCCUUCCACGAACUCCGUGCCGCAGCUAACGCAUUAAGCGCCCCGCCUGGGGAGUACGGCCGCAAGGCUAAAACUCAAAGGAAUUGACGGGGGCCGCACAAGCGGCGGAGCAUGCGGAUUAAUUCGAUGCAACGCGAAGAACCUUACCAAGGCUUGACAUGCACGGGAAAGUUCCAGAGAUGGUUCCCCCGCAAGGUCCGUGCACAGGUGGUGCAUGGUUGUCGU